ACUCCUACGGGUGGCUGCAGUGGGGAAUAUUGCGCAAUGGGGGGAACCCUGACGCAGCCAUGCCGCGUGAAUGAAGAAGGCCUUCGGGUUGUAAAGUUCUUUCGGUAUUGAGGAAGGUUGAUGUGUUAAUAGCACAUCAAAUUGACGUUAAAUACAGAAGAAGCACCGGCUAACUCCGUGCCAGCAGCCGCGGUAAUACGGAGGGUGCGAGCGUUAAUCGGAAUAACUGGGCGUAAAGGGCACGCAGGCGGUUAUUUAAGUGAGGUGUGAAAGCCCUGGGCUUAACCUAGGAAUUGCAUUUCAGACUGGGUAACUAGAGUGCUUUAGGGAGGGGUAGAAUUCCACGUGUAGCGGUGAAAUGCGUAGAGAUGUGGAGGAAUACCGAAGGCGAAGGCAGCCCCUUGGGAAUGUACUGACGCUCAUGUGCGAAAGCGUGGGGAGCAAACAGGAUUAGAUACCCUGGUAGUCCACGCUGUAAACGCUGUCGAUUUGGGGGUUGGGGUUUAACUCUGGCGCCCGUAGCUAACGUGAUAAAUCGACCGCCUGGGGAGUACGGCCGCAAGGUUAAAACUCAAAUGAAUUGACGGGGGCCCGCACAAGCGGUGGAGCAUGUGGUUUAAUUCGAUGCAACGCGAAGAACCUUACCUACUCUUGACAUCCUAAGAAGAGCUCAGAGAUGAGCUUGUGCCUUCGGGAACUUAGAGACAGGUGAUGCAUGGAUGUCGUCAGCUCGUG
RNAcentral lists this ribosomal RNA (735 nucleotides) under uncultured bacterium. Its description in RNAcentral is "bacterial SSU rRNA". It matches the Rfam family "Bacterial small subunit ribosomal RNA", at positions 335 to 1064 of the family's 1533-position model. The record is from RNAcentral.